CACACCGAGACGUUCGAGAUCGUCGCCGUUAAGAUUGAGAACAGUAAAACAAAGCAUCCCCAACUGCUUUACGAAGCCAAGUUAUACAAUAUCCUUCAAGGAGGAAGUGGAAUUCCGAACAUAAAAUGGUCCGGCAUAGACGGCGAGGACAAUGUGCUAGUUCUCGAUUUGCUGGGACCAAGUCUUGAGGAUUUGUUUGUGUAUUGUGGGAGAAAGUUUUCACUCAAGACUGUCUUAAUGUUGGCCGAUCAAAUGAUUACGAGGAUAGAGUUUGUGCACUCGAAAGGUUUUCUGCAUAGAGACAUAAAACCUGAUAACUUCCUCAUGGGUCUUAGUCGAAAAGCAAAUCAGGUUUACAUAAUUGAUUUUGGUCUUGCAAAAAGAUAUCGAGACUCCACAACCAAUCGUCACAUCCCUUACAGGGAGAAUAAAAACUUAACAGGAACUGCACGUUAUGCAAGCUGCAAUACUCAUCUUGGAAUUGAGCAAAGCCGACGUGAUGAUUUGGAGUCUCUUGGAUAUGUUCUUCUGUAUUUUCUCAGAGGAAGCCUUCCGUGGCAGGGUUUAAAAGCUGCCACAAAAAAGCAAAAGUAUGACAAAAUUUGCGAGAAGAAGUUAUCAACCCCUAUUGAGGUUCUAUGCAAAUCUCACCCGGUGGAGUUUGCGUCAUAUUUCCAUUACUGCCACUCACAGACAUUUGAUCAGCGGCCUGAUUAUGGAUUCUUAAAGCGCCUAUUCCGUGAUUUGUUUACUCGUGAAGGAUAUGAAUUUGAUUACAUAUUUGAUUGGACCAUCAUAAAGUACCAGCAGUCACAAAACAAUAGAACUCAGUCUCAGUUAUCCCCAGUUCCUGGACGAAGCAACAGUCAUGCAAUGCCAGUGCGUGUAGAUAAUCAUCAAGUGGCAGGAGGUGCUAGUGCUUCUUAUCCAGCUGAGGUCACAGAUCGAAUUAGAUCAAACAAUGCCACUGGUCCUGGUGUUCGGAUGCAAUUUAAACCAUCAACAGGCAGGAAUUUGAAUUAUGAUAAUCCUCUUGAAAAGAAUAUUUCAAAUGAAGCAUACCUGCCGUCUACUUCAUUUUCCGGCACCUCAAGAAGGAAUUCCACAAAACCUAUUUUGCCCACUGAAGCUGCAAACAGUGGUCAUGGGCAUGGCAGUAAAGUAGGUCCUUCGAGUAGUUGGAUUCAGUCACUGCAACGCAUGUCUUCAGCCAAGUGACCAAUAUGAUUUGCUCCAGAAGAUUCUAGCACAUCUUUGAAGCUCUGCAGAUGUAUGGUGAUUUAAUGGUCAAAUUUGCAAUCUAUUCAUGAAGAUCUUGGUGACGCGUCUUUGGAGACAUUGACUGCCUUUUAAAAACUUAUCUGAGAAGUUGAAAAACACAGAAAACAGUUGAGAGGCACUUAUGAUAUACUAAGGUGCUAUUGGCAGUUAUGAAGGCUACUUUACCAAAUUACUCCAAUACCUAUUCCACUCUCAUCUAUAAUCAGGAGUGGCUCUGCUAGCUUACUGUUACUACAUUCCAAGUAGUAUGCGCUCAAGGGGAUCAAGGCCAGUGUUCUCACCCCUGAACUUUGAGGUACGGUCGCCAUCCAGGAGCCGAAGCCCUGGGGACAUUACUAACUUAUAGAUGUUCUUUGACUGUCCAGGAUUACCCAAGAUUUUGUUUUUAGUAAAGAUCUUUGAUCUAUGCCAUCUAUACCAAUGCUGUGUUAUUGUUACUUUUUAUCUGCCAGAGGAAUCCAUUGAUCAAGGGGAUUACAUAUAUGCCGAUGGUGGUGCCAUGCCCGUGCAGUUGCUCAAGUAUCUCAUGAUAUAUAUAUAUAUAUAUAUAUAUAUAUAUAUAGAUAUCUCCUACAGCUUUUAAAUUGAGGAACAUUCAACAUAUGCAAUGCAAUGUAGUACUGUCGUUUGUGAUGGGUCUUCUGGUAAAUGUAUUAGUGUUGUCCCAGUUUGUUUUGUUUCGCCUCGCUUGAACGCAACUGUGAGGUUGUCAAUAGAAUAGAAUGGGUCUGUAGGAUGAUUUCGGGUCGGGUGUGGAUGCUCCAGCUCUUUGCUGGUGGAGAAGCUGUUUCAGUAUCACGGGGGGUGAAAACGACAUUGUCUAUUUAGCCGUAAAAACCUUCAAUAUUAAGCAGUAGAAACCUUGUUUUCCUUAA
This is an RNA transcript of Prunus dulcis (almond), 2156 nucleotides long. It is a transcript of the gene named casein kinase 1-like protein 3, with no coding region annotated. The transcript is spliced from 16 exons. The record is from RefSeq and is a predicted model, not a curated record. NCBI's taxonomy places the organism in Eukaryota, Viridiplantae, Streptophyta, Magnoliopsida, Rosales, Rosaceae.